This 376-nucleotide unclassified non-coding RNA is filed under the name uncultured Lysobacteraceae bacterium. RNAcentral's name for it is "uncultured Xanthomonadaceae bacterium contains 16S-23S intergenic spacer region". The record is from RNAcentral. Lineage: Bacteria; Pseudomonadati; Pseudomonadota; Gammaproteobacteria; Lysobacterales; Lysobacteraceae.
UCCGACUUAUCAUCGGCAGUUUCCAUAGAGUGCCCAACUGAAUGCUGGCAACUAGGGACGAGGGUUGCGCUCGUUGAGGGACUUAACCCAACAUCUCACGACACGAGCUGACGACAGCCAUGCAGCACCUGUAAACCGGCCACAAGUGGCCGACACAUCUCUGCGCCGUUCCGGUUCAUGUCAAGCCUUGGUAAGGUUCUUCGCGUUGCAUCGAAUUAAACCACAUACUCCACCGCUUGUGCGGGCCCCCGUCAAUUCCUUUGAGUUUCAGUCUUGCGACCGUACUCCCCAGGCGGCGAACUUAACGCGUUAGCUUCGAUACUGCGUGCCAAAUUGCACCCAACAUCCAGUUCGCAUCGUUUAGGGCGUGGACUAC